This 627-nucleotide long non-coding RNA is filed under the name Numida meleagris (helmeted guineafowl). RNAcentral describes it as "lncRNA (ENSNMEG00000015981.1)". Lineage: Eukaryota; Metazoa; Chordata; Aves; Galliformes; Numididae. The record is from RNAcentral.
UCCAGACACAAAUCUACUCAAGUAUUUUGGAGGAAGUAUAGUUCAAGGUGAACAAACAAACAUUUGAGGACUUGCUUCUUAUACAGCAUUGAUCCAAACAAAUUUGGUCGAGAUAGGUCAAGGAAAGAGAAGAAAAGACUCCUGUAGAAAAGGAGUUGAUACUGUUUGAGGAGGAAAGUUUCCUAUGAGGAGCCAGCAUCCAUUGGCACAUCCCUCACUAUGCCCACUGCUGUUGAAAGGAAGAUGAAGAGUGAGUAAGAGCAUUUCUUGCUCUUUGCAAAAGUACGGUGAAUAGAUCAUGCCUCAAAAAAAGCAUUAGCACACCAUGGGCAUUGGGCCUUAACAGCUGAAGGAUAGUGAAGGUAUCUGAAAGUCAAAGAAAAGGAGCUGAAUCUGAAAGUAACAAGAGCAACUCUGUCAAUGCUGUUGAGAAAAUAUCUCCAAUGACCUGAUGUGUUCAUCAUGUGUUCCUUACGCAGGCAUGAAAGGCAGCUAAAUCGAGGGUGGCUGGAGCAUAGCAGGAUGCCAGAAGAUUCCCCGAAUGGUCCUUACGAGCCGUAGACCAAAGCAGGAUUGGCACAGAGCUGAUGUGGCUGACUGUCAGCCGCUCAGAUUUCCCGAUCAAAC